Molecule: ribosomal RNA, 253 nt
Filed under: uncultured bacterium
Lineage: Bacteria
Description: partial 16S ribosomal RNA
Rfam family: Bacterial small subunit ribosomal RNA
Source: RNAcentral
UACAGAGGGGGCAAGCGUUGUUCGGAAUUACUGGGCGUAAAGGGCGCGUAGGCGGCCUUCUAAGUCGAACGUGAAAUCCCCGGGCUCAACCCGGGAACUGCGUCCGAGACUGGAAGGCUUGAAUCCGGGAGAGGGAUGUGGAAUUCCAGGUGUAGCGGUGAAAUGCGUAGAUAUCAGGAGGAACACCGGUGGUGUAGACGGCUUUCUGGACCGUAACUGACGCUGAGACACGAAAGCGUGGGUAGCAAACAGG